UUGUAAACAAAGUUUGUCAAACUUUCAACUUUGUAUUUUCAGAUUGGUUUAUUGGAAUUUGGUAUACGAUAACGUUUUUUUAGGGCGAAAUGGAUGAUGAUGAUUAUUGGAAUACUAGUGAAACCAAAGAGAGUGCGUUCAGUUUUGACGAUGUGUUAUCACCACAAGAAAUACUUGCUAUUGGCAAGAAAGCAUGUUCAGGGCAGAGUGAAGACAGUGUAUUCAAUUCCUCGAAUAUAAAUAGUACUAGACGAGACUUAGUACCACUAGCAAGCCUUGUGUCACCUAAAGCCCUAGAACUGAUAGUGCUAGCUCAGUCUGGCAAUGAUCUGAAAGAUGCAAUGCCAGAGCAGCACAUAACAGUUGCAGUCACAUUGAGAAGAUUGGUUCUGGGAAGAAGUUGUUCACUGCAUGUACACAGAAGUAUGAAAAGCAAAACAGAAUUACUGGAUGGUGCAAUUGAAUUGGGUGAUGGGAAUGCUAUAUUAGCUAUAGUAUGCUUCCUCCUACAAACACUGAAUAAGAAACUGGUACAUGAGUUACUGUCGUCUAGGCCUUUAGCGUUGAGUCACUAUGUAGGCUAUUUACACGGUGAGGGAAAAAUAGCUGAACUCACAGACUUAUUGACGAUGCUGGGCAGGAGUUCAGAAGCUGCGAUGUUCCAGUUCGAGCACAUGGUGAGGUGUCACGGUGAUGACGUGGAAGCCUUGCUGAGGAAGUCUGGCAACCUACAGAAGAACCACUUCACACAGCCUCACGUCGAUGGUCACUACAUCAAGAUGUUGACAGACUAUUGCAAACUCUUGGAAUGGCAGAAAUGUGCCGACAAGAAGGAGUUGCGGAACAAAUCGAGCCUACGAUGUUUGUUAUACUGCUGCGAGUCGCACUGGCACGAGGGGGCUGGCAAUAUUAUGUCGCCAUUGACUCUGUGUCAACGACAGCAGAUAACACCUCUGCAGUACGAUUGGGUCGUGUUAAAUGUCCACGCUAACGCCAACAAGUGGGAUAUCGUGGAGUCGCUGUUCACUAAGAAGAAUUGGUUCGGACGGACGACUGUGUCGACACACAUACCGAUAGAGACGCUUCUGUCUCGACUGGCUGAGCUGAAGGCCAGCGAGCACAUUAUGGCGACCUGCGUUGCCAAGAUACAGAGCAACGAGGAGAGGAUCAGACUGGCGCACAAGUAUAAGAUACACUCAGUGAUAGCGGAAAGUGCGGGUAAACAGAAGGACCGGAGUGGAUUGUUUGGCAUGACGUAAUAUUCAGGGCUCAACAUAAACUAGAAGAAGAAAUAGCAAGAUUGUGGACAAUAGAAAUAGAUACCGGCGAGCACAGCAGUGGGUAGGGUGAGCCAGUUUUCCUCGCAGUGAAGACAGGACAUGGGGCCAGGGGGCCCGGCUCUAUAGUGCGCUGGCCUAGCAUGUUGGUGUGCGAGAAGUCACA
This is an RNA transcript of Leptidea sinapis, 1443 nucleotides long. It is a transcript of the gene named vacuolar protein sorting-associated protein 16B, with no coding region annotated. NCBI's taxonomy places the organism in Eukaryota, Metazoa, Arthropoda, Insecta, Lepidoptera, Pieridae. The record is from RefSeq and is a predicted model, not a curated record. The transcript is spliced from 11 exons.